This 465-nucleotide ribosomal RNA is filed under the name Vreelandella stevensii. RNAcentral describes it as "partial 16S ribosomal RNA". It matches the Rfam family "Bacterial small subunit ribosomal RNA", at positions 338 to 795 of the family's 1533-position model. The record is from RNAcentral. Lineage: Bacteria; Pseudomonadati; Pseudomonadota; Gammaproteobacteria; Oceanospirillales; Halomonadaceae.
CCUACGGGGGGCUGCAGUGGGGAAUAUUGGAUAAUGGGGGGAACCCUGAUCCAGCCAUGCCGCGUGUGUGAAGAAGGCCCUCGGGUUGUAAAGCACUUUCAGUGAGGAAGAACGCCUGGUGGUUAAUACCCAUCAGGAAAGACAUCACUCACAGAAGAAGCACCGGCUAACUCCGUGCCAGCAGCCGCGGUAAUACGGAGGGUGCGAGCGUUAAUCGGAAUUACUGGGCGUAAAGCGCGCGUAGGUGGCUUGAUAAGCCGGUUGUGAAAGCCCCGGGCUCAACCUGGGAACGGCAUCCGGAACUGUCAAGCUAGAGUGCAGGAGAGGAAGGUAGAAUUCCCGGUGUAGCGGUGAAAUGCGUAGAGAUCGGGAGGAAUACCAGUGGCGAAGGCGGCCUUCUGGACUGACACUGACACUGAGGUGCGAAAGCGUGGGUAGCGAACAGGAUUAGAUACCCUGGUAGUC